This 493-nucleotide ribosomal RNA is filed under the name uncultured bacterium. Its description in RNAcentral is "partial 16S ribosomal RNA". It matches the Rfam family "Bacterial small subunit ribosomal RNA", at positions 29 to 523 of the family's 1533-position model. The record is from RNAcentral.
AUUGAACGCUGGCGGCAUGCUUUACACAUGCAAGUCGAGCGGUAACAGGUUAAGCUGACGAGUGGCGAACGGGUGAGUAAUGCAUCGGAACGUGCCCGGUCGUGGGGGAUAACGCAGCGAAAGCUGCGCUAAUACCGCAUACGAUCUAAGGAUGAAAGCGGGGGACCGUAAGGCCUCGCGCGAUCGGAGCGGCCGAUGGCAGGUUAGGUAGUUGGUGGGGUAAAGGCUCACCAAGCCAACGAUCUGUAGCUGGUCUGAGAGGACAACCAGCCACGCUGGGACUGAGACACGGCCCAGACUACUACGGGAGGCAGCAGUGAGGAAUGUUGCACAAUGGGCGAAAGCCUGAUCCAGCAAUGCCGCGUGCAGGAAGAAGGCCUUCGGGUUGUAAACUGCUUUUGUACGGAGCGAAAAGGUCUCCUCUAAUACAGGGGGCUCAUGACGGUACCGUAAGAAUAAGCACCGGCUAACUACGUGCCAGCCGCCGCCGUAA